Molecule: transfer RNA, 74 nt
Filed under: Lacticaseibacillus rhamnosus
Lineage: Bacteria; Bacillati; Bacillota; Bacilli; Lactobacillales; Lactobacillaceae
Description: tRNA-Glu(ttc)
Rfam family: tRNA
About the family: Transfer RNA (tRNA) molecules are approximately 80 nucleotides in length. Their secondary structure includes four short double-helical elements and three loops (D, anti-codon, and T loops).
Source: RNAcentral
UGGCCCGUUGGUCAAGUGGUUAAGACACGGCCCUUUCACGGCCGUAACAUGGGUUCAAAUCCCGUACGGGUCAU